RNAcentral lists this ribosomal RNA (1434 nucleotides) under uncultured bacterium. Its description in RNAcentral is "bacterial SSU rRNA". It matches the Rfam family "Bacterial small subunit ribosomal RNA". The record is from RNAcentral.
GAUCCUGGCUCAGAUUGAACGCUGGCGGCAUGCCUAACACAUGCAAGUCGAACGGUAACGCGGAGCUUGCUCUGCGCUGACGAGUGGCGGACGGGUGAGUAACGCGUAGGAAUUUGCAGUCGAGGGGGACAACUUGGGGAAACCCAAGCUAAUACCGCAUACGCCCUACGGGGGAGCGGGGGAUCUUCGGACCUCGCGCGAUUGGAUGAGCCUGCGUUGGAUUAGCUAGUUGGGGGUAAAGGCCUACCAAGGCGACGAUCCAUAGCUGGUCUGAGAGGACGAUCAGCCACAGGGACUGAGACACGGCCCAGACUCCUACGGGAAGCAGCAGUGGGGAAUAUUGGACAAUGGGCAACCCUGAUCCAGCAAUGCCGCGUGUGUGAAGAAGGCCUGCGGGUUGUAAAGCAUUCAAUGGGGAGGAAAAGCGUGUGGUGAAUAGCGACACGUGUUGACAUUACCCAUAGAAAGCACCGGCUAACUCCGUGCCAGCAGCCGCGGUAAUACGGAGGGUGCGAGCGUUAAUGAAUUACUGGGCGUAAAGGGCGCGUAGGCGGUUAAAUCAGUCAGAUGUGAAAGCCCCGCUUAACCUGGGAAUGGCAUUUGAUACUGUUUAGCUAGAGUUUGGUAGAGGGGAGUGGAUUCCGGUGUAGCGGUGAAAUGCGUAGAGAUCGGAAGGAACAUCAGUGGCGAAGGCGGCUCUGGACCAAAACUGACGCUGAGGUGCGAAAGCGUGGGUAGCAAACAGGAUUAGAUACUGGUAGUCCACGCUGUAAACGAUGAGAACUAGCCGUUGGGGGUAACUAAACCUUGAGUCGCAGCUAACGUGAUAAGUUCUCCGCCUGGGGAGUACGGCCGCAAGGCUAAAACUCAAGAAUUGACGGGGGCCCGCACAAGCGGUGGAGCAUGUGGUUUAAUUCGAUGCAACGCGAAACCUUACCUGCCUUUGACAUCCUCGGAACUUUCUAGAGAUAGAUGGGUGCCCUUUGGGCCGAGAGACAGGUGCUGCAUGGCUGUCGUCAGCUCGUGUCGUGAGAUGUUGGGUUAACCCGUAACGAGCGCAACCCUUGUCCUUAGUUGCCAGCACGUUAAGGUGGGAACUCUAAAGACUGCCGGUGAUAAACCGGAGGAAGGUGGGGACGGCGUCAAGUCAUCAUGGCCCUUAGGCAGGGCUACACACGUGCUACAAUGGUCGGUACAGAGGGUAGCGAACUCGCGAGAGAGCGAAUCUCACAAAGCCGAUCUUAGUCCGGAUUGGAGUCUGCAACUCGACUCCAUGAUCGGAAUCGCUAGUAAUCGCGGAUCAGAACGCCGCGGUGAAUACGUUCCCGGGCCUUGCACACCGCCCGUCACACCAUGGGAGUGGGUUGCACCAGAAGUAGGUAGUCUAACCUUCGAGGGCGCUUACCACGGUGUGGUUCAUGACUGGGGGAAGUC